CCUACGGGUGGCAGCAGUAGGGAAUUUUGCGCAAUGGGCGAAAGCCUGACGCAGCAACGCCGCGUGAUCGAGACGCCCUUCGGGGUGUAAAGAUCCGUUAGUGGGGACGAAACUUGGCGGUACCCACAGAGGAAGCACCGGCUAACUACGAGCCAGCAGCCGCGGUAAUACGGGGGGUGCAAGCGUUGUCCGGAAUCAUGGGGCGUAAAGAGUUCGUAGGCGGCACGUCAAGUCUGGUGUUAAAGGCAGAGGCUCAACUUCAGUACGGCACUGGAUACUGGCGAGCUAGAGUGCGGGAGAGGUAAAGGGAAGUCCUGGUGUAGCGGUGAAAUGCGUAGAUAUUAGGAGGAACAUCAGUGGCGAAAGCGCUUUACUGGGCCGUAAUUGACGCUGAGGAACGAAAGCCAGGGUAGCAAAUGGGAUUAGAUACCCGGGUAGUC
RNAcentral lists this ribosomal RNA (440 nucleotides) under uncultured bacterium. RNAcentral describes it as "partial 16S ribosomal RNA". It matches the Rfam family "Bacterial small subunit ribosomal RNA", at positions 338 to 795 of the family's 1533-position model. The record is from RNAcentral.